CGUCUUCUUGCAGCUGCGGAAUCAGUGCUGUUUUGGACUCUGAUGUACCGUACAUACCAGCAUGUAGCUAUAUUUGGAUGAGCUUACAUGUACAUGUACCUUCGUGGAAUCGCCGAUCUUCAACCUACUUGCCUUUGCUGAUUUGCUGCCAUAGCGCAACUCUGCCUGCAAGAAAUGAAUUCGAAAUGAAUUCGAAACGGGAGUUGACGGACGUUCUCUCAUUGAGUUUCUCGUGCUAAGUGGUAAGGGUUAGGGAGUACCUAAAUGGGAAGUUUUCACGACAUGGGGACCUGGCAUGCUGAAGAUUGGCUUCCAAAAAGGAUCAAAAUUUAAAAAAUUUAAAAAUUCAAAAUUCAAAAAUAGAAAUAAGCUUGGCGGCUGCUGGCUAAACCUCGG
Molecule: small RNA, 396 nt
Filed under: Histoplasma ohiense
Lineage: Eukaryota; Fungi; Ascomycota; Eurotiomycetes; Onygenales; Ajellomycetaceae
Description: hypothetical lncRNA
Source: RNAcentral